Thamnophis elegans (Western terrestrial garter snake) is the source of this 1692-nucleotide long non-coding RNA. RefSeq lists it as uncharacterized. The transcript is spliced from 2 exons. Lineage: Eukaryota; Metazoa; Chordata; Lepidosauria; Squamata; Natricidae. The record is from RefSeq and is a predicted model, not a curated record.
GACCAAGAUGCCUGUCGUUACCAGCCAGCACCCGCCUGCCUCCUCGUGGGAAGCCAGAGCUGCCCCCCCCCCUCCCCCGGGGGGGAGAAGAACCACAGCAUGUGGACACCACAUGGCAGCUUUGCCAGUGAGGGAACCUUUCUCUGCAUCCUGCAGGCACUUCUCCCCAGUCUCCCCCAGGCCAGGAAAGGGGAGGGGGGCUGGACAGCCACCAAGGAGCAUAUCUGGCUAAGACCAGCAGUUGCAACUGGAGAGUCGCAGCCCUCAGCCCCACGAGACAGACCAGGCCAGAAAAGGCAGGCCAUAGGAAGGCCAGGGCUGCUCGUCUUGGAGCUGGCCCUGAGGAGAGACCCCGGGGGACCUGUCCACAUUGCUCGCUGGCUCAAGGGAGGCACCUGCCGGAGCCCCUCCUGAAUGCUGCCUCGGAACUUUGAAAUGUUUCGGCCCCCUGGACCUCGGGAAGGGCCCCUGCCCGCCUCCCCCAAGGUCGUCUCCUUCCUUCCAGCACAGACCACUGGCCGUCCACAAGAAAACGGGUGGCCCACUGAACAAGCCAUCAUACAACCCAGGCUGCUCACCAGCUGCUCCGAGGAUGCCCCGACUCUCACCCAGGAAGCUGUGAGAAACAAUCCCUCCCACGGCUCUCUAUUCCCAGGGCAGGAGGCCUAGCCACUGCCAGCUUCCCUGGCUUCACAGGGUGCUCCAAGGAACAGCACAGCUCCCCCAAUCCAUUGGCUUUCACGGAGCAAGGCUGCUCCUUCCAUGCUCCUAUUAGUUGCAGGGCUUUUGGCUAUCACAACAUAUCCAUCUCUGCACCACUCGUCUCUCUUCAGCCUCAGGUGAAGAGACCUUCUCAAAUUAAAGUUUUCUCUACAAUAAUGAAUCCCUGGUGCUGUAUUUUCCUUUGAUGGUCCCCUCCCCACAGGAUCUCAGAAAGGAAUGAGAAAGGGGGGAAGGAAGGGAAGCCUUGGGGUGCUGGGAGAUGCUGGCAAGAGGGUCAGGGCAAGAAUAGGCCCCAUCCUGUGGGUGGGGUGGGGAGAGCCACCACUCUGCCCUAAACAUCCUCCCUCCUGCCUGGCCAGCUGCUCUUCAGGGGUUGGGAGGACAUACAGCCCCUCUCCCACAUCGCCAAGGCUUUGUUUUCCACCAAGGAAACAGCCCAGAGUAGGAGAGCCAAGUGGGAGAAACUGAGGCUGCAUGUGGGGUUCGGGGAAGGCCGGAGCUCUUCAGGUUCCAGUUAUCCAAAAGAGCAAAACAGCCUAGUUUGGGUGAGGAAGGAUGGGAAAGCCUUUGGAUGCACAAAUGCACGGCUUGAGUCUCGGCCAAGGCUGGGGGACUUGGGCCAAGCCAGGCCCCAAACUUUCUCCUGGCAAGCCAUCCUUUUCUACAGGGCCCCAGGCAGGCUCACGUGACCCACUGGGGUGUGGGGUGGGGAGGAGGAAGACAACCCAAAAGCCGAAAGGACUUCCCCUCCCAAUAGAAGCUCCCUCCCCAGGUCAGGUCCAUGUUAAUUCAGGGAUCAUGCUCCCUCCCUCCCUCCUCCAGUUCUGCCAUGCCCCGUCCCAGGGAAAGAAUGGCUUGCAGGAGCUGCUUUGCCCAGCUAGGCAGCCUUGACUCAGUGCCACAGGCCUUUCUUUGCCCUCUACUCACCACAGACCAUCGUAGCUGCUGGACACGAUCAGGGAGCCAUCG